ACUGGGGCGCUAUGGUGCCUGGAGCUGGGCAGUUUUCUCGUCAGAGUGGGGACUGAUGAUGAUUAUUCCCCACCUUCUAAGAGACAAAGACCAACGAGCCACCACAGCCACCAGUCCCAGAACCCGCCAAUGCUGGGGAACGGAAAAUGAGGGAGUUCAACUCUGAGAAAUGGAAUCAUCGUAUCGCUGAUCUACGUAAACAAACUGAAGAAUUGUCUGAAAGAAAAUAUGACAUGAACUUAUGAAUUCAACAGGUGAAGAUUUACAACUUGAUAAAUCAACUUUGUGAGCUCGAGCUGUAAAAGCCAAAGGUCUGGUGAUGAUCCCAUACCCUUUUUUCCAGUCUCAUGUUGAAGAUUUUUAUGUAGAAGGCCUUCCCAAAGGAUUUUUAGGAAGGCUUUCUACUAAUGGAAUUCCUGGCCUUGAGAGGAUGUUACUUUCGAAGGAAAGGAUUUUUUUGUUAUUAAAAGCUGGACCUACCAUGAAAGACUUCUGAAUCCAGGAAGAGAAACUGACUGGGCAACAUGUUAUUCAGAUGGGGUCUUCUUAUGUUGCCCAGGUUGGUCUCAAAUUGCUAGGCUCAAGUGAUUCCACCCACCUCUGCCUCCCACAGUGCUGGGAUUACGGGCAUGAGCCAGCGCAUCUGGCCACCUUAUUUUCAAUUACUGGCUCAAUGUAAUGGCUCCAUCUCAGGAACAGCCAAUGAAAGAGAUGCACAGGACAAGGAAGUGAGCUCACAAUGACUCAAGCUGCCACAUAGUGUUGAUUGUGAAAUGCCAGUUGAAGCAUAUGUCCUGCGAGCUUGGGGGUGCUACAAGUUGACCACUGCAGCAGUAAAGAUGACUCUGAAGAAUGGCGUGGGAUGGAUCCUUUCAAAUGCACUUGAGCAGCAGUCUCCAACCACAGGGCCACAGAGCUGGAGCUGGAUCUACCAUGAAAGACUUCUGAAUCCAGGAAGAGAGACUGACUGGGCAACAUGUUAUUCAGGCUGAAGCGAUCCUCCCAUCUCAACCUCCCACGUGGCUGAGACUACAGGUGCUUGCCACUAUGCCCAACUAAUAUUUGGAAUUUUCGUAUACGUGGAUUCCAGAGGGGUGACAGCGAAAUGUGACCUCACAGUGACUCAAGCUACCACUUACUGUUGAUUGUGACGAAAUGCCAGCUGAGGCACAUGCCUUGGGAGCUAAGUGGUUGCUGCACUUGACCACUGUGAAGACUGGUGUGGGAAGAAGGGUCGUUUCUGAUGCACUUGAGCAGGGGUCCCCAACCCCUGAGCCAUGGAGCCGCAAGGAGCCACACAGCAGGAGCUCCUACCUCCCGGCAGCCUCUCCAGGCCCAGAACUUUCUCCAGUCAGCCUCUACAGACCAAGCUCAUGACUCACAAUGGCCUAUUUAGGCCCAUACCC
Molecule: long non-coding RNA, 1406 nt
Filed under: Homo sapiens (human)
Lineage: Eukaryota; Metazoa; Chordata; Mammalia; Primates; Hominidae
Description: non-protein coding lnc-TP53BP2-8:4
Source: RNAcentral